This 1043-nucleotide unclassified non-coding RNA is filed under the name Hevea brasiliensis (rubber tree). The record is from RNAcentral. Lineage: Eukaryota; Viridiplantae; Streptophyta; Magnoliopsida; Malpighiales; Euphorbiaceae.
GGGCAAUUGCCACUUGCCAUUGGCUCUUUACUCAUCAAUCAAUCAAUAUCUAAGCCUCCGUCUGCCUCGUCUCAUUUUUCUCUGUAGGGGAAAGCAAGAAAAAUACAGAAAACGAACAUGGCGGCUAUUCUUUCACCCUACCCAACUUCAACCAUAACCCAAGAACCAUGUUCCAGACUGGAUUUUAGAAAUGGGUUUUCAGCUAGCAGCACCUUUGCCUCUCUACAUUUUCUCCGUCCGCCCACUCGGAUGACCAAUGCUGUGCUUAAGGUCUCUGCUAGCAUUAGCGAAGGCAAUGGGAAUGCUGCACCUGUUACCCACUCAGUGCCUGCCUUUACUAGCUCCAAGGUGCAAUGGCACACAAUAUCAGUUUUCGUAGGUGACGAAAGUGGAAUAAUAAACCGGAUUGCAGGCGUUUUUGCUAGAAGGGGUUACAACAUCGAGUCCCUUGCAGUUGGUUUGAACAAGGAUAAGGCUCUCUUUACCAUAGUUGUCCGUGGAACUGACAACGUUUUGCGGCAAGUAGUAGAACAGCUUAACAAGCUUGUAAAUGUCAUAAAGGUGGAAGAUAUCUCUAAGGAACCACAAGUAGAACGUGAACUGAUGCUUAUAAAACUUAAUGUGGAUCCAAGUACUCGUCCUGAGAUCAUGUGGCUGGUGGACAUCUUCAGAGGAAAAGUUGUUGAUACAUCAGAGCAUACACUGACUAUUGAGGUCACUGGAGACCCUGGAAAGAUGGCUGCUGUUUUAAGGAACUUAAGCAAGUUCAGAAUCAAAGAACUUAGUAGAACUGGAAAGAUUGCUCUGAGACGAGAAAGGAUGGGUGAGACUGCUCCCUUUUGGAGAUUUUAUGCGGCUUCUUAUCCUGACCUUGAGAGUACACAGCCUGGUGAUGUUUUUUCCAGUAAUCGUGCAAAUAAUUUUGCGGGGAACUCAAAUGGAUCAACUAACGGCAGCACCAUUUCAUCCUCAAAGGGUGAUGUAUAUCCUGUGGAGCCUUAUGAUGAUUACUCAGUCAAUCAAGUUCUUGAUGCUCAUUGGGG